GUUUUGAAGAAGAAACUGCCGUUUCUCACCUUACAGUUAUGCUAGUAAGGUUAAAGAUAAUUUGUUAAAAAGUAACAAUAGGACGGCGUUUGUCGUCCUUUUUAUUUUAU
Molecule: non-coding RNA, 110 nt
Organism: Clostridium sp. BL8
Lineage: Bacteria; Bacillati; Bacillota; Clostridia; Eubacteriales; Clostridiaceae
Source: Rfam